UCGUACGGGCCGCAAGGCCAGUGGCGCAAGGGUGAGUAAGGCGACGGUAACCAACCCCGGGAUUGGGUAUAGCCGCGGGAAACCGCGGGUAAUCCCCAGCGACGUCCGGAAGGGGCAUCCCUUCGGGACCAAAGUCCCGGCGUCCCGGGACGGGCCGUCGUGGUAUUAGGUCGUUGGCGGGGUAACGGCCCACCAAGCCUGUGAUGCCUACCGGGCGUGCGAGCGUGGCCCGGCACACUGGGACUGAGACACUGCCCAGACUCCUACGGGAGGCUGCAGUCGAGAAUCUUCGGCAAUGGGCGCAAGCCUGACCGAGCGACGCCGCGUGGAGGACGAAGGCCUUCGGGUUGUAAACUCCUGUCGAGGGGGAAGAAGGGGCGGCAACGCCCUUGACUGAUCCCUGGAGGAAGCACGGGCUAAGUUCGUGCCAGCAGCCGCGGUAGACGAACCGUGCGAACGUUAUUCGGAAUCACUGGGCUUAAAGCGCGUGUAGGCGGGGCGGCCCGUCGGUCGCUGAAAGCCCCCGGCUCAACCGGGGAAGCGGCGCCGAGACGACCGCCCUGGAGGGACGUAGGGGGACCUGGAACUUCCGGUGGAGCGGUGAAAUGCGUUGAGAUCGGAAGGAACGCCCGUGGCGAAAGCGAGGUCCUGGACGUCUGCUGACGCUGAGACGCGAAAGCCAGGGGAGCGAACGGGAUUAGAUACCCCGGUAGUCCUGGCCGUAAACGAUGGGCACUGGGUAGGGGGCUCGCCGAUGGGCUCCCUGCCGCA
Molecule: ribosomal RNA, 771 nt
Filed under: uncultured bacterium
Lineage: Bacteria
Description: bacterial SSU rRNA
Rfam family: Bacterial small subunit ribosomal RNA
Source: RNAcentral